GCAAGUCGAGCGAGAAAGUACUUCGGUACGAGUACAGCGGCGGACGGGUGAGUAACGCGUAGGAAUCUACCUGGUAGUGGGGGACAACAUGUGGAAACGCAUGCUAAUACCGCAUACGACCUAAGGGUGAAAGUGGGGGAUCUUCGGACCUCGCGCUAUCAGAUGAGCCUGCGUAGGAUUAGCUUGUUGGUGAGGUAAAGGCUCACCAAGGCGACGAUCCUUAGCUGGUCUGAGAGGAUGAUC
RNAcentral lists this ribosomal RNA (243 nucleotides) under uncultured bacterium. Its description in RNAcentral is "partial 16S ribosomal RNA". It matches the Rfam family "Bacterial small subunit ribosomal RNA", at positions 57 to 305 of the family's 1533-position model. The record is from RNAcentral.